AGAGUUUGAUCAUGGCUCAGAUUGAACGCUGGCGGCAGGCCUAACACAUGCAAGUCGAGCGGUAGCACAGAGAGCUUGCUCUCGGGUGACGAGCGGCGGACGGGUGAGUAAUGUCUGGGAAACUGCCUGAUGGAGGGGGAUAACUACUGGAAACGGUAGCUAAUACCGCAUAACGUCGCAAGACCAAAGAGGGGGACCUUCGGGCCUCUUGCCAUCAGAUGUGCCCAGAUGGGAUUAGCUAGUUGGUGGGGUAACGGCUCACCUAGGCGACGAUCCCUAGCUGGUCUGAGAGGAUGACCAGCCACACUGGAACUGAGACACGGUCCAGACUCCUACGGGAGGCAGCAGUGGGGAAUAUUGCACAAUGGGCGCAAGCCUGAUGCAGCCAUGCCGCGUGUGUGAAGAAGGCCUUCGGGUUGUAAAGCACUUUCAGCGGGGAGGAAGGCGAUAAGGUUAAUAACCUUGUCGAUUGACGUUACCCGCAGAAGAAGCACCGGCUAACUCCGUGCCAGCAGCCGCGGUAAUACGGAGGGUGCAAGCGUUAAUCGGAAUUACUGGGCGUAAAGCGCACGCAGGCGGUUUGUUAAGUCGGAUGUGAAAUCCCCGGGCUCAACCUGGGAACUGCAUCCGAAACUGGCAAGCUAGAGUCUCGUAGAGGGGGGUAGAAUUCCAGGUGUAGCGGUGAAAUGCGUAGAGAUCUGGAGGAAUACCGGUGGCGAAGGCGGCCCCCUGGACGAAGACUGACGCUCAGGUGCGAAAGCGUGGGGAGCAAACAGGAUUAGAUACCCUGGUAGUCCACGCCGUAAACGAUGUCGACUUGGAGGUUGUGCCCUUGAGGCGUGGCUUCCGGAGCUAACGCGUUAAGUCGACCGCCUGGGGAGUACGGCCGCAAGGUUAAAACUCAAAUGAAUUGACGGGGGCCCGCACAAGCGGUGGAGCAUGUGGUUUAAUUCGAUGCAACGCGAAGAACCUUACCUGGUCUUGACAUCCACAGAACUUUCCAGAGAUGGAUUGGUGCCUUCGGGAACUGUGAGACAGGUGCUGCAUGGCUGUCGUCAGCUCGUGUUGUGAAAUGUUGGGUUAAGUCCCGCAACGAGCGCAACCCUUAUCCUUUGUUGCCAGCGGUUAGGCCGGGAACUCAAAGGAGACUGCCAGUGAUAAACUGGAGGAAGGUGGGGAUGACGUCAAGUCAUCAUGGCCCUUACGACCAGGGCUACACACGUGCUACAAUGGCAUAUACAAAGAGAAGCGACCUCGCGAGAGCAAGCGGACCUCAUAAAGUAUGUCGUAGUCCGGAUUGGAGUCUGCAACUCGACUCCAUGAAGUCGGAAUCGCUAGUAAUCGUGGAUCAGAAUGCCACGGUGAAUACGUUCCCGGGCCUUGUACACACCGCCCGUCACACCAUGGGAGUGGGUUGCAAAAGAAGUAGGUAGCUUAACCUUCGGGAGGGCGCUUACCACUUUGUGAUUCAUGACUGGGGUGAAGUCGUAACAAGGUAACCGUA
RNAcentral lists this ribosomal RNA (1504 nucleotides) under Klebsiella pneumoniae. RNAcentral describes it as "bacterial SSU rRNA". It matches the Rfam family "Bacterial small subunit ribosomal RNA". The record is from RNAcentral. Lineage: Bacteria; Pseudomonadati; Pseudomonadota; Gammaproteobacteria; Enterobacterales; Enterobacteriaceae.